GAUUAACGCUAGCGGCAGGCAUAAUACAUGCAAGUUGAACGGCAGCACAGGUAGCAAUACUGGGUGGCGAGUGGCGCACGGGUGCGUAACACAUAUGCAACCUACCCUAUACAGGCGAAUAACCUUUAGAAAUGAGGGCUAAUACGCCGUAGUAUUACAGAUGGGCAUCUAUUUGUAAUUAAAGAUUUAUCGGUAUAGGAUGGGCAUGCGUCCCAUUAGUUAGUUGGUAAGGUAACGGCUUACCAAGACGAUGAUGGGUAGGGGAUCUGAGAGGACUUACCCCCACACUGGUACUGAGACACGGACCAGACUCCUACGGGAGGCAGCAGUAAGGAAUAUUGGGCAAUGGCCGCGAGGCUGACCCAGCCAUGCCGCGUGCAGGAAGACGGCCUUAUGGGUUGUAAACUGCUUUUAUACGGGAAUAAUAGAGUGUACGCGUACAUUUAUGCAAGUAUCGUAUGAAUAAGCAUCGGCUAACUCCGUG
RNAcentral lists this ribosomal RNA (484 nucleotides) under uncultured bacterium. RNAcentral's name for it is "partial 16S ribosomal RNA". It matches the Rfam family "Bacterial small subunit ribosomal RNA", at positions 28 to 507 of the family's 1533-position model. The record is from RNAcentral.